Molecule: small nucleolar RNA, 134 nt
Filed under: Pelodiscus sinensis (Chinese soft-shelled turtle)
Lineage: Eukaryota; Metazoa; Chordata; Testudines; Trionychidae
Description: Small nucleolar RNA SNORA55 (ENSPSIG00000019477.1)
Rfam family: Small nucleolar RNA SNORA55
About the family: ACA55 is a member of the H/ACA class of snoRNA that guide the sites of modification of uridines to pseudouridines.
Source: Rfam by way of RNAcentral
GCACCAAAAUCUUUCCCAUUCCUUGCGGUGCGGUGCAGGCCUGGGGACAGCUGGUGCCACAAUACAGCAGAGGAAAUCCAGACAAGUUGCUUUGCACUUCACUUGGGACUUGUCUCUACAACUCUGCAACACUC